CACCGCGGUUAUACGAGAGGCCCAAGUUGAUAGCGCCCGGCGUAAAGAGUGGCUUAUGUAUUCUUGACUAAAGCUAAACACUUACAUAGUUGUCUAACACUAGCGUGAGCAGGAAAUCCAUACGAAAGUAGCUUUAAUUAUUAUAACCCCACGAAAGUCAUGACA
This 165-nucleotide ribosomal RNA is filed under the name Siphamia tubifer (tuber cardinalfish). Its description in RNAcentral is "partial 12S ribosomal RNA". The record is from RNAcentral. Lineage: Eukaryota; Metazoa; Chordata; Actinopteri; Kurtiformes; Apogonidae.